AGAGACGUGCAAGCGUUAUUCGGAUUCACUGGGCGUAAAGGGGUGCGCAGGCGGCCGUGUGUGUGAGCGUGAAAGCCCGGAGCUCAACUCCGGAAUUGCACCUCAAACUACAUGGCUAGAGCAUUGGAGAGGGAAGCGGAAUUCACGGUGUAGCAGUGAAAUGCGUAGAUAUCGUGAGGAACACCAGAGGCGAAGGCGGCUUCCUGGACAAUUGCUGACGCUCAGGCACGAAAGGCGUGGGGAGCAAAAGGG
RNAcentral lists this ribosomal RNA (252 nucleotides) under uncultured bacterium. RNAcentral describes it as "partial 16S ribosomal RNA". It matches the Rfam family "Bacterial small subunit ribosomal RNA", at positions 526 to 776 of the family's 1533-position model. The record is from RNAcentral.